UUUAAAUCUUAAUACUGACGACUAUUUGAUCCAGUUUCCUUUACAUACAAGAUUCAUUCAGUCCUACACAAGUAAUGCCCGACCACCUUCACUUGAAACAACCAGCAGCCACAAUCUGCUGGAACUCAACUGGAGCACAAACUCCACCUCUAAAACAAUCUGGUGUCCCAGUUUGUUUACCAUAUUUUUUUGAACUGAUGUUCUUUCUGUCAUUGUACUGUUGUUGAACAAACCACUCCGCUGCCAAGUCUGCACCCUUCAAGUACCUGCAUGAGUACAAUUUUUUUAGAAUAGUACAAGAUAGUAAGGUUGCAAGUUCAAAUUGUCAAUAAAAAUAUUAGGUUUUGAACUGCUCAUGAACAUGCAUCAAUAAAAAAAAUUAGAAGAGCAAAUCCCGAGAGCUUAAACUUCACAUUUAGAAGAAAUCUAGUCUUUUACAAUAGCAUAUAUAGUAAUUUUUAUGCCAAGUAACUUCAAAACCGAACAGGAAUGAAGCUUUUGCAAGAAUAGAAUAGAAUAUAUGCUACUUUCCAUCGAGACAAGGUUUCUCAUGGGAAUAACAACAAACAACUUGAGGGCACUCAGGGCAACAACAAGAACAAGCAAUAAAUUUGAACGAAAUAAGUUAGUACAUCUAGCAAUCUAGGCCAAAUAAAAUCCAUAGACUACAUAUUGACUAAAAUAAGAAUUGAACUGAAAUAAACUUGGAUAUUGUACUGAACUAAAAUAAGAAACUUUGACUAAACUAAAAUGAGAAUUUGAAAUUGGAAUUAACUAAAAAAUUAUUUGCUGAACUGAUCAUGAAAGAACAAGAAUCAAUUCGUUCUGGAAGUAUUUUAAGCAUCAAGUCCACGAGGUUUGAGAAGUUACAUAAUCAUUUUCAGUUUCAAACACAAUCGCAAAUCAGAAUUGCUAACAUAUUUCAAGGUACUAUGCAAAAAAAAACACAUUACAAUAUAUUGAGAUGUCCAACUACAUGUACCAUCUUAAUACCUUCUCAUAAAAAAUGAAUCAAUAGUAAGAAACAAGGUAGUAACAAUCCUAACUCUGCAUAGUUUUGGGGUUUGUAGAAGUCUGAACAUGGUUAUCAUAGUUAAUUACUUACUGUGUAAGCAGGAUGUGUUUACACACCUAUAAUUCAGAAUUGAACUGAACGACCCAUUUUUCUUGUACUGAAGCUUGUUUUCAGAAUU
RNAcentral lists this long non-coding RNA (1193 nucleotides) under Triticum aestivum (bread wheat). RNAcentral's name for it is "long non-coding RNA (TAES_LNC011214)". Lineage: Eukaryota; Viridiplantae; Streptophyta; Magnoliopsida; Poales; Poaceae. The record is from RNAcentral.